Molecule: long non-coding RNA, 231 nt
Organism: Galeopterus variegatus (Sunda flying lemur)
Lineage: Eukaryota; Metazoa; Chordata; Mammalia; Dermoptera; Cynocephalidae
Exons: 3
Source: RefSeq, a predicted model, not a curated record
GACCCUAAACUACUGUCAAUGGCAUAUUCAGCUGUUGGAAAACUUUCCAGUCGAAUGCCCCAUUUAUUCACUAAGGAUAUAGCUCUUGUGCAGCAGCUUUUUGAAGCCCUGUGUAAGGAAGAGCCCGAGACUCGACUUGCUAUUCAAGAAGCACUGUCUAUGAUGGUUGGAGCUUAUAGUACUUUGGAAGGAGCACAGCGAACUCUCAUGGAGGCACUUGUGGCUUCGUAC